GAUGCUCCCUCUCAUUGGCCCUUAGCCCAGCUUCUCCUGAUAUAUUCACCACUUUUCAGUCUCUCUGGUUUUCUUUCUCCCUAUAGCCUUCCUGGACAGCAUUGGCAGGUGGGCACCUUCUGCCCCAUCGUUCCCUUCCUGUGACUGCAAAGAUAGCUCCGUUCCAUCUUCUGUUGUCUUCUGCUUUCCAAUGUGGAGGGCUCAGCCAUUGCAUCUUCCACUGAAGGACAAAAGAACUUCUGUUUUACUUCAUCUCACCCCAGCAACCUGUGCUGGCAUCUAUGGGCUGACAACCAACGUCUGCUAUCCCGGGCUGCAAAAAUUCUCAUUUGCCAAUAGAUUCAGUUCAGUUGGGAUUUUACUGCUUCCGUUUUGCUGGAGGAUUUGGGAUUUGAGUCCAAAAAACAAGCAUGAAAGUCGAUCUGUUGGUGAAAGCUCUGGAGAGGUGCAGAGACAGGGAGGAAACGAGCUCCCCUUGCGAUUAAAACUGUUGAAACAGCUGUUAUCUGGUAGCUGCUCUCACCGGGCAGUUUCCUGAUGUCAGUCAGCGGCUGUGGGGCUGCAGCAGCAAUUGGAGCCUGAGGAGAGGCAGCCGCACCCCGGCUGUCCCCACACCCUGAAGGAGCUGCCCACGUUGUGCAGUGAACCCCAUUGCACAAGGGGUGAAUCCGGGCACUGCAGCAAUGGAGACACAGA
Molecule: long non-coding RNA, 696 nt
Filed under: Gallus gallus (chicken)
Lineage: Eukaryota; Metazoa; Chordata; Aves; Galliformes; Phasianidae
Description: lncRNA (ENSGALG00010017205.1)
Source: RNAcentral